CCUACGGGUGGCUGCAGUGGGGAAUAUUGGACAAUGGGGGCAACCCUGAUCCAGCCAUGCCGCGUGUGUGAAGAAGGCCCUCGGGUUGUAAAGCACUUUCAGUGAGGAAGAACGCCUGGUGGUUAAUACCCAUCAGGAAAGACAUCACUCACAGAAGAAGCACCGGCUAACUCCGUGCCAGCAGCCGCGGUAAUACGGAGGGUGCGAGCGUUAAUCGGAAUUACUGGGCGUAAAGCGCGCGUAGGUGGCUUGAUAAGCCGGUUGUGAAAGCCCCGGGCUCAACCUGGGAACGGCAUCCGGAACUGUCGAGCUAGAGUGCAGGAGAGGAAGGUAGAAUUCCCGGUGUAGCGGUGAAAUGCGUAGAGAUCGGGAGGAAUACCAGUGGCGAAGGCGGCCUUCUGGACUGACACUGACACUGAGGUGCGAAAGCGUGGGUAGCAAACAGGAUUAGAUACCCUAGUAGUC
Molecule: ribosomal RNA, 465 nt
Filed under: Vreelandella stevensii
Lineage: Bacteria; Pseudomonadati; Pseudomonadota; Gammaproteobacteria; Oceanospirillales; Halomonadaceae
Description: partial 16S ribosomal RNA
Rfam family: Bacterial small subunit ribosomal RNA
Source: RNAcentral